This 587-nucleotide ribosomal RNA is filed under the name Tolypocladium sp. OTU044 AN-2016. RNAcentral describes it as "eukaryotic LSU rRNA". The stretch from base 221 to 374 matches the Rfam family "5.8S ribosomal RNA". Lineage: Eukaryota; Fungi; Ascomycota; Sordariomycetes; Hypocreales; Ophiocordycipitaceae. The record is from RNAcentral.
GAGGAAGUAAAAGUCGUAACAAGGUCUCCGUUGGUGAACCAGCGGAGGGAUCAUUACCGAGUUAUCAACUCCCAAACCCCUGUGAACAUACCUGAACGUUGCUUCGGCGGGACCGCCCCGGCGCCCUCGGGCGUCCCGGAACCAGGCGCCCGCCGGAGGACCCAAACUCUUGUUUUCAAUUAGCGGAUUGCUCUGAGUCUCAAAAAAAUAAAUGAAUCAAAACUUUCAACAACGGAUCUCUUGGCUCUGGCAUCGAUGAAGAACGCAGCGAAAUGCGAUAAGUAAUGUGAAUUGCAGAAUUCAGUGAAUCAUCGAAUCUUUGAACGCACAUUGCGCCCGCCAGUAUUCUGGCGGGCAUGCCUGUCCGAGCGUCAUUUCAACCCUCAGGCACCCUUCGGGGCGCCUGGUGUUGGGGACCGGCCCCGUGCCGCCCCCGAAAUGCAGUGGCGACCUCGCCGCAGCCUCCCCUGCGUAGUAGCACAACCUCGCACCGGAGCGCGGAGACGGUCACGCCGUAAAACGCCCAACUUCCUUUAGAGUUGACCUCGGAUCAGGUAGGAAUACCCGCUGAACUUAAGCAUAUCAAU